GAUGAACGCUGGCGGCGUGCCUAAUACAUGCAAGUCGAGCGAACGGACGAGAAGCUUGCUUCUCUGAUGUUAGCGGCGGACGGGUGAGUAACACGUGGAUAACCUACCUAUAAGACUGGGAUAACUUCGGGAAACCGGAGCUAAUACCGGAGAAUAUUUUGAACCGCAUGGUUCAAAAGUGAAAGACGGUCUUGCUGUCACGUAUAGAUGGAUCCGCGCUGCAUUAGCGAGUUGGUAAGGUAACGGCUUACCAAGGCAACGAUGCAUAGCCGACCUGAGAGGGUGAUCGGCCACCCUGGAGCUGGGCCACGGUCCAGACGCCUACGGGAGGCCGCAGUAGGCAAUCUUCCGCACUGGUCGAAAGCCUUGCGGAGCAACGCCGCGUGAGUUAUGACGGUCUUCGGAUCGUAAAACUCUGUUAUUAGUGAAGAACAUAUGUGUACGUUACUGUGCACAUCUUGACGGUACCUAGUCAGAAAGCCACGGCUAACUACGUG
RNAcentral lists this ribosomal RNA (497 nucleotides) under uncultured bacterium. RNAcentral's name for it is "partial 16S ribosomal RNA". It matches the Rfam family "Bacterial small subunit ribosomal RNA", at positions 28 to 507 of the family's 1533-position model. The record is from RNAcentral.